AAACGCAGAUCCCGACCCUUCUUCCUCUCUUCCCCAACGCGACCUCCCUUCUUCCUCUCUCUAUUCUCUCGCGGAUGACUCGCCGGCACCGAUCCACACUGUCGCGUCUUCGCCGCCGACCAGGGGUACGGUUGCCGGGUUGUCCUCCUCAGCCAGUGGUGUUUCCGUGACCUCGAGGUCGUGGGAUCGACUCGCGGUGCUGCCCAAAUUGCUGGAUCUUUUCUUCAUCUUCUUCUCUUCUCCCAAGCGCCGGCGACGCUUGCGCCAGCCGUGCCCUAGAUCCACCGCCAGCCGCAACUCACAGAGCCGACCGUCGUCCCUCUCUGCCCUAACGUCGGAAGACGACCGUCUCCCCUGCGCCGAUGCCGUCUCUUGACCCGAGCAGUGCUAUCCUCUGUGCCGAACCCUAGUGCCCAACGCCGUCUUGCCGGCCGAGGUUCAUCUGUGCCCUAGUCUUUCUUCUCCAACUCAGCGCCGGCACCUUCCUCUCAUCCUCUGUGUGCCGAAACUGACCCAACGCCGGCCACCGUCUCUAGCUAGGCACCGUCGACCCCACAGUAGACCACCUAUUCCUGGGUUUCACUGCGGGAUGGUGCCCUAGUCAUCGCCACCUGUACUGCCGGAUGAGCUCCAACAGCGGCUUCACGGUCACAUACUCGUCAUCCAUUUACCUUUGUUUUGGUUGUGAGCUUGAUCUUGCUUCUACUGCCCAAUUGAUUUUCAGAUUUAUAAGGAACAGUUCCAUUAGAUCACUGAUGAGGAAUUCAAUUGGGCAUAUGGAAUGUGAAGAUUUUAGAUCGGUAUUGGGGAUAUUGAUAUAAGGACUUUGAUUCGAGACGGUGUCUCGACGAUGGAUCUAUUUCGGAUUGGAUCCUUUCUAUU
Molecule: long non-coding RNA, 882 nt
Organism: Zingiber officinale
Lineage: Eukaryota; Viridiplantae; Streptophyta; Magnoliopsida; Zingiberales; Zingiberaceae
Exons: 4
Source: RefSeq, a predicted model, not a curated record